This 305-nucleotide ribosomal RNA is filed under the name uncultured bacterium. RNAcentral's name for it is "bacterial SSU rRNA". It matches the Rfam family "Bacterial small subunit ribosomal RNA", at positions 337 to 640 of the family's 1533-position model. The record is from RNAcentral.
GCCUACGGGGGGCAGCAGUGAGGAAUAUUGGUCAAUGGCCGAGAGGCUGAACCAGCCAAGUCGCGUGAGGGAAGAAUGUCCUAUGGAUUGUAAACCUCUUUUGUCAGGGAGCAAAGUCACCCACGUGUGGGUGUUGGAGAGUACCUGAAGAAAAAGCAUCGGCUAACUCCGUGCCAGCAGCCGCGGUAAUACGGAGGAUGCGAGCGUUAUCCGGAUUUAUUGGGUUUAAAGGGUGCGUAGGCGGACGCUUAAGUCAGCGGUAAAAUUGCGGGGCUCAACCUCGUCGAGCCGUUGAAACUGGGUGC